This 372-nucleotide long non-coding RNA is filed under the name Populus tremula. RNAcentral's name for it is "long non-coding RNA (PTRE_LNC000590)". Lineage: Eukaryota; Viridiplantae; Streptophyta; Magnoliopsida; Malpighiales; Salicaceae. The record is from RNAcentral.
AGGUGAAUUCAAAACUGCACCACUAACCAUAACCAAUUCGUUUACAUCAACUAGGUUAAGAUGCUAGAUAAACAUUUACAGCUACAGGUAUUAAGAUACUUGGCUUGUUUCAAAAAAUUAUUGUCCACGUAGGACGUCACUCGGGUCUGAAUUCUCUCAAUUAAUUAAUUGGAUGACCAUGGUUGUUUCCAGCUCAUUUCCAUUUUUGGGUUUCAAAAGGGCCAAUUCCACGUAGGACGUCACUCAGGUCUGAAUUCUCUCAAUCAAUUAAUUGGAUGACCAUGGUUGUUUCCAGCUCAUUUCCAUUUUUGGGUUUCAAAAGGGCCAAAACACUCCUAGUAACAAGCUCAAGCAAAUCUCUUAUAACAUAUU